UCCCUGGUGGUCCAGUGACUAAGACUCCAUGCUCCCAAUGCAGGGGGCCUGGGUUCAAUCCCUGGCCAGGGAA
RNAcentral lists this transfer RNA (73 nucleotides) under Bos taurus (domestic cattle). It matches the Rfam family "tRNA". Rfam says of the family: Transfer RNA (tRNA) molecules are approximately 80 nucleotides in length. The record is from Rfam by way of RNAcentral. RNAcentral also lists the same sequence under 5 other names. Lineage: Eukaryota; Metazoa; Chordata; Mammalia; Artiodactyla; Bovidae.